UAAAUUUUAUUUAUUAAUUUUAUUUAUUUAAGUAUUUUAUUUAAUAAAAAUAAUUUUAAUUAAUUAUGGUUUUAGUAUUUUUUAAAGAAAUAAUAAUUUUAAUAAUAGUUUAUUUGUAUUGUAAAAGAAUAUUGAAAUAAUUUGAAAAAUUUUUAUUUUAAAAGAAAAUUUAAUUUAUUGUACCUUGUGUAUCAGGGUUUAUUAAUUAAUUAAUUAUUAUAAUAAUUUUUCUCGAAUUUUAAAGAUUUAGUUAUAUAUAAAAGUUACUGUGGAAUAAUUAUUUUUAAUAUAUAACUAGAAAUGAAACGUUAAUCGUUUUAAAAUAUAUCUAGUUUUUUAAGAAAUAAAUUUAAUUUAGAUUUAUUAAUUAAAAAGAUUAUUUAUUUAAUAUUUUUAUUUGAUAAAAUUAAUAUUUUAAGGGAUUAGCUUUAAAAUAAAUUUUUAAAUUUUUAAUAAAAUAAUUAAUAAAUGUAAGCUUAAAAAUAGUUAUCAUUAAUAAAUUUGUUAUAAUUUAUUUUAAAUUUUUUAUUAUUUAUUAUAAAAUUAAAUUAUUUAUUAAAAUAUAAAUUUUAAUUUUAAUAAUUUAUAAAUUAUGAUAAAAUUAGUAUAUUUAGUUUAUAUAAAUUAUUUAAAUUGAGAGGUUUAAAUAAGGAAUUCGGCAAAUUAUAUAUUCACCUGUUUAUCAAAAACAUGUCUUUUUGUAUUUAAUUUAAAGUCUAACCUGCCCACUGAUAAUUAUUAAAGGGCCGCAGUAUUUUGACUGUGCGAAGGAGGCAUAAUCAAUAGUCUUUUAAUUGAAGGCUUGUAUGAAUGGUUGAAUGAGAUAUAUACUGUCUUUUUUAAAUUUUUAUAGAAUUUUAUUUUUUAAUUAAAAAGUUAAAAUAGUAAUUAAAAGACGAGAAGACCCUAUAGAUCUUUAUUUUUGUUAAUUAUAAAUUAAAAAGAAUAAUUAAAUUUAUAAUUUAAUAAAAAAUUUUACUGGGGUGGUAUUAAAAUUUAAUUAACUUUUAUUAUUUAUUUACAUUAAUAUAUGAAUAUUUGAUCCAAUUAUAUUGAUUAAAAAAUUAAGUUACCUUAGGGAUAACAGCGUAAUUUUUUUUUAGAGUUCUUAUCGACAAAAAAGAUUGCGACCUCGAUGUUGGAUUAAGAGUUAUUUUUAGGUGUAGAAGUUUAAAGUUUAGGUCUGUUCGACCUUUGAAUUCUUACAUGAUCUGAGUUCAAACCGGCGUAAGCCAGGUUGGUUUCUAUCUUUAAUUAAUUAUUAUAUUAUAGUACGAAAGGACCUAAUAUAAAAAAUAUAAAUUUUAAAUAUAUGAAUUAUAUUAAUAUUUAAUAA
RNAcentral lists this ribosomal RNA (1336 nucleotides) under Aedes flavopictus. Its description in RNAcentral is "16S ribosomal RNA". The record is from RNAcentral. Lineage: Eukaryota; Metazoa; Arthropoda; Insecta; Diptera; Culicidae.